CCUACGGGAGGCAGCAGUGAGGAAUAUUGGUCAAUGGGCGCGAGCCUGAACCCGCCAAGUAGCGUGAAGGAUGACUGCCCUACGGGUUGUACACUUCUUUUAUAAAGGAAUAAAGUGAGGCACGUGUGCCUUUUUGUCUGUACUUUAUGAAUAAGGAUCGGCUAACUCCGUGCCAGCAGCCGAGGUAAUACGUAUGUUCCGAGCGUUAUCCGGCUUUUUUGGGUUGAAAGGGAGCGUAGAUGGGUUGUUAAGUCAGUUGUGAAAGUUUGCGGCUCAACCGUAAAAUUGCAAUUGAUACUGGCAGUCUUGAGUACAGUUGAGGUAGGCGGAAUUCGUGGUGUAGCGGUGAAAUGCUUAGAUAUCACGAAGAACUCCGAUUGCGAAGGCAGCUUACUAAACUGCCACUGACAUUGAUGCUCGAAAGUGUGGGUAUCAAACAGGAUUAGAUACCCGAGUAGUC
Molecule: ribosomal RNA, 460 nt
Filed under: uncultured bacterium
Lineage: Bacteria
Description: partial 16S ribosomal RNA
Rfam family: Bacterial small subunit ribosomal RNA
Source: RNAcentral